UCUGGGCUGGACCGUGACUACUUGGACCAAUAGAACACAGCAAGCGUGACAAUGCCCUUGAGUGGACUUGCAGCUCUGCCUCGUUCUUGUGGAACAUGAGUCACCAUGUGAAAGUCCCACUACCCUGCUGGGGAGACCACAUGGAGAGGCCCUGAGACCACAUGGGGAGGAAAAGGGGCUCCACUGAGCCCAGCCAUCCAGAUGUGCUCGCCAAGGUGCCAGACAUAGGAAUGAAGCCGAGCCUCCAGCUGAAUGCCCCCACGUGACCACUGGGGCCAUCACGGGAGGCGGAAGACUCACCCAGCCAAGCCCUGCCCCGAUUCCUGACCCCAAAUACCACGAGAUACAACAAAAUGAGAGAGAGAGAGCCAGAAAGCACAAGCAGGGGAAGGGGCAGAGGCAGAGGGAGGAGAAGCAGGCUCCCUGCUGAGCAGGGAGCCUGAUGCGGAACUCGAUCCCAGGACCCUGAGAUCACGACCCGAGCCGAAGGCAGACGCUUAACCAACUGAGCCACCCAGUGUGCAGGGCAGGGGCAUUAAGCACCUUUCCACUGUCAAGCAACCAUCACCACCACCCAUCUCCAGAAUGUUUUCAUCAACCUAUAUUGAAACUCUGUCCCCCUUAAAAGGAUAGCUCCCCAUUCCUCCUCCCCCAACACCUGAAAGGAGAAGUCACAUUAUAGCAGUGAGUAACAGCUAACUGCAAUAAUGGGUUGGUUUCCGGCACUACCACUUGAAAGAUGAUGGGAGCAGUUGGAUCAAGUGCCCAUAAGAAAUAAGCCUGACUCCUGAUGUGACAAUUGUCAUCGUGGGAGAAAUCUUGGUGGUUGAUGAAACACGCCCUUGGCGUGACACCCGAUGAAACCACUGUGAGAUGCAGAACGCGAUGCAGCGUCCAUAGGACCUGCGGCCCGAUGGUCUAAUGCCCAUGCAGAAUGGCCUCCGGACAUCGACGGGCUCCAGGAACACAGC
Molecule: long non-coding RNA, 971 nt
Organism: Mirounga angustirostris (Northern elephant seal)
Lineage: Eukaryota; Metazoa; Chordata; Mammalia; Carnivora; Phocidae
Exons: 5
Source: RefSeq, a predicted model, not a curated record